RNAcentral lists this unclassified non-coding RNA (220 nucleotides) under plant metagenome. RNAcentral describes it as "partial contains small subunit ribosomal RNA, internal transcribed spacer 1, and 5.8S ribosomal RNA". The record is from RNAcentral.
AUUCCGUAGGUGAACCUGCGGAAGGAUCAUUACAGAGUUCAUGCCCUCACGGGUAGAUCUCCCACCCUUGAAUAUUUAUACCUUAGUUGCUUUGGCAGGCCGUGGAAACACCAUGGGCUCCGGCUUAUGCGUGCCUGCCAGAGGAAACAAACUCUGUUUUUAGUGAUGUCUGAGUACUAUAUAAUAGUUAAAACUUUCAACAACGGAUCUCUUGGUUCUG